This 535-nucleotide ribosomal RNA is filed under the name uncultured Glomus. RNAcentral describes it as "SSU rRNA". It matches the Rfam family "Eukaryotic small subunit ribosomal RNA", at positions 569 to 1109 of the family's 1831-position model. The record is from RNAcentral. Lineage: Eukaryota; Fungi; Glomeromycota; Glomeromycetes; Glomerales; Glomeraceae.
AGCAGCCGCGGUAAUUCCAGCUCCAAUAGCGUAUAUUAAAGUUGUUGCAGUUAAAAAGCUCGUAGUUGAAUUUCGGGAUCAAUAUGUUGGUCGUGCCUUGGUACGUACUGGCGUCAUUGGUUUCUACCUUCUGAAGAACCUCGAUGUCAUUAAUUUGGUGUCUUGGGGAAUCAGGACUGUUACUUUGAAAAAAUUAGAGUGUUUAAAGCAAGCUCACGCUUGAAUACAUUAGCAUGGAAUAAUGAAAUAGGACGUUUGAUUCUAUUUUGUUGGUUUCUAGGAUCGACGUAAUGAUUAAUAGGGAUAGUUGGGGGCAUUAGUAUUCAAUUGUCAGAGGUGAAAUUCUUGGAUUUAUUGAAGACUAACUACUGCGAAAGCAUUUGCCAAGGAUGUUUUCAUUAAUCAAGAACGAAGUUAGGGAUCGAAGACGAUCAAAUACCGUCCUAGUCUCAACCAUUAAACGAUGCCGACCAGGGAUCGGCGGAUGUUACUUUUAGGACUUCCGCCGGCACCUUAUGGGAAACCAAAGUGUUUA